Molecule: long non-coding RNA, 3419 nt
Organism: Haemorhous mexicanus (house finch)
Lineage: Eukaryota; Metazoa; Chordata; Aves; Passeriformes; Fringillidae
Exons: 2
Source: RefSeq, a predicted model, not a curated record
CAGAGGGCUCGGAGCCGAGCCGGGGCUGAGAGACCCCCGGUCCCCACCCGCGGGGCUGUGCCACGGCACGGCAGGAACAGCCGUGUCCCGAAGUGCUGCAGCGGGUCCGGAGGAGGCCACGGAGAUAAUGAGCCCCUCUGCAGGGGAGACAGGCUGAGAGCUGCGGGGUUCAUCCUGGAGAAGGCUCCGGGUAGACCUUUAAAGCCCGUUCCCGUGCCUAAAGGCGCUCGAAGAGAGGUGGAGGGAGGCUUUGGACAGGGGCCUUGGAGUGACAGAGCAAGGGGGAAUGGCUUCACACUGACUGAGAACAGAGUUAGAUGGGGUAUUGGAAAGAAAUUCUUCCCUUUGAGGGUGGUGACAGCACUGGACAGGGUGCCCAGAGAAGCUGCCCCUGGAUCCCUGGAAGUGUCCAAGGCCGGGUUGGAUGGGGCUUGGAGCAGCCUGGGAUGGUGGAAGGUGUCCCUGCCCGUGGCAGGGGGUUGGAACAAGAUGAGCUUUACAGGCCCCUUCCACCCCAAACCAUUCUGUGACUGUGACUAUUGUCCAUGGCUGUGCUGAGCCAUCGGAGCAGUGCUGGAUAAACUGCUGGAUCAACUGGAUAAGUGCUCCCUGGAUGAACUAAGGCUGUGCCCCUCAUACGGCCUUGGGGACUGGACAGCAGUUACCAGUGGCAAGAGGACAGAUGCUUUGGGGGAUCCAGGCUGGACCCCCUGUAGAUGGCACUCGCACACUGUGCGAGGGCAGCGCAUCCCCCGGGAGCUGCUGCUGAGCGCUGUCGCUCCCUCCAGCUGGUUCCUGGCAGAGGAAGAAUUUCCAUGCACAGCCGCCUGCACAGCCCUCGCCAAGCGCUGUUUCAGAGAGGGCCCUGAUUGUGCUGGUGAAGAGCGGCCGUGUCCUGCCCCGGUGGAGCUGCAGAUCAUGUGGAAGCACAGGGAUAUGCUACGUGUGGCCUCGGGAUGCACAGUCAGGUCUUGGGAACCAGAAUUCGCAGCACUCAUCUCCAGCUGCACUCUGUCCUGGGGCAGGCUGAGUCACUGAGGGCAUAAUCACAGACUCACAGAAUUGGUAGGGUUCAAGGGCUUGGAGAUCGCCCAGGUCCCCUUCAAAGUCACCUAAAGCAGGUGACACAGGAACUUGUUCAAAUGGGUUUUGAAUACCUCCAGAGAGAGAAGUACUGAACAGAUCUGUGCUAAAGCUCUGAUGAGUGCCUGACCCCCAAAUCUGCCCACCAGCAAGCUGCCAGCUUGCUGCUCUCUAUAGCAAUACCAUGGAGAUUUAUAGAAAUACCAUGGAACUCUGGAAUCCCCUUGAGCAAGAGCUGCUCCCUGGAUGUAUGAGACACAUGUCAGUUCAUCCCUGAAGCAGCAAAAAUGGUCCCAGACCAAAAGUGAGCCCUGGACCCUCUCCCUGGCAUGACACCUUGAAACUUCCUGGCUUGGCUCCAUGUUUGUGAACACGAGUUCCCUCCACCCCACGGUCUGAAGUCUAUGCAGCACCUGGAAAUCCUCCAACCCUUGGCAGGGUCUGGCUGUGGAGUCAGGGAGUGCCAUUUUGGAGAGGCCCACCUCUGUUAGGGAGGACGAAACAAGUCCCAACAAGGGGACCUUCUGGAAAGGAGCAGCUGCCUGUCCCAUGUGUGGGGUCGGGUCACGCCGGUCCUUGGCGUCAGAGACACGCUCGAGCGGCACUGCUGCCACUGUCAGUGUGGUUUGUGUCGCUGCAACGCAGAGAUGGUUCCUGACCACAAGUAUGGCCGGGGAUGUGUCUCAGAUUCCAGAGCACACAGUCACUGAUGCCAAGCGCCAUCACCCCGUCGCGCCCUGCCUCGAGCAGGAGCCAUCACCCUGCCAGCGCUGGCCUCCUGCAGUGGCAACCAGCCUCACCAAGGGCCCACCUCUGCCUGCCUGCCAGCGGGUCCCCGAGGAUAGAAUGGCACAAAAUCCUCAUGCCUGCAGCCCCACAUGCCUGCUGGGCAUGUCCCCUGCCCCUGUGUGCCCAUGGGCACAGGCCAGCUCCGCAGCCCAAGCCUGCCAGCCUGUGGCUCCGCUCUUCCCAAGGGUUAACAGGACACCACAGGCCAGGCGCUUGCAGAGCGGGGAGGGUUUCUGGCUGACCUUGGCUGGGAAGCAGCGGUGGCGUCGCUCAGCCCUGCCCCCCAAGCGUGGAGCCGGUGGCCAGAACGCUCCCCAAGCCUGGGUGGAGGUAGAUCCAGAGGAAACUCCACCUCCGCGGGAGCCAACCUGCUAUUGCAGGAAUUCCCAGAGAAAUUCCCGCUUGGGGUGAUCUGUCAACGGAUCCAUGAACUUUCUUUUACCUCUUGUGAAAGCAGCUACUUGAAUGUGCUAAAAACAGAGCAGGGGCGAGUCCAUCAGGGAGAGGCUGGGAGGGGGCUUUUGCUGACCCCUGCACACCAAGAGACUCCCUGAAAGUCUCUGUUUGUGGUGCCUGGCUGGCAGCUGCCCUUGGCAGGCAGAUCUGGGAGAGCCAGGAGAAGUUUCCUGCAAAAUAAAACCCCACAAAAUCUCACCUGUUUUUUCCACUGGGCUACUGUAUUUCCCAAGCAACUCUCAGCAGAUUUGAACACAGCGAAUGGGCUUGAUCAAGUUGCUUCCACUAUCCCCAACCAUCCUUUGAGGAGCCAAGGGACCUCUCCACACCUCUUGUGGCACAUACACUCCUAACACAACAGAAAGCAUCACGGUUCCCAGGAGAUAUUUUAGGAUCCAUCCAUGCCAUAAUGGAAGAGCAGCCCACAGAGACUCUGUGUCCUCCACUCCCUACAUCCCCCCACUGCAUCUGUCCUGGAGCUGCAGGUGAGCACCCGUGCCUGGGGACACUGCCAUCUGGACCUCCUGGGACAAGUCCUACACCAAGAAAAGCUGCAGGAUUUGGCUACAGUGGGCAGCAGCUGCAAGGGGAACGUGGCCAGGACCACCCUGUGUGUUAGCCCAGCCUCUGCCACCCUGAGAAACAGGGAGCAUGGAAAGGAGGAUGCAGAGGAGAUGAUGGCUCCCAUGGGCCCUGCUCAUCGCGAGUGCCAGGGUGGAGUUUGGACCUCCAGCUUUGCAGAUGCUCUUCUGAGACAUUUUGGAUUUUCCCUAAACCUCUUCCUCCUAACGAUUUUAAUUAUACUGGCUGCUGUUCAAAACAAUAAUGACAGGGAGAGGAAUAAAUGCUAAGCAGCAGCCUGUCACGCUUCGUGAGAUGCCUCCAGGGGACACUGGGCCAGACAAGCAGCCAGCCCAGAGCCAUGCCAGCCAAGUGGGUGCAGGCUGCCACCCCACAUCAGCCACCAGCAGAUGGUGGGUCUGGGCUGGCCUGUGUGAGCGUGAGAGCCUGUGCAGGCACUCAGGUCUCCCUUCUCUCCCCCUCUCUGUCUCCUUUUAUUCACCUCCAUAAAACAUAGGAAGUUCAAGCCA